CACGUAGGGUGCGAGCGUUGUCCGGAAUUAUUGGGCGUAAAGAGCUCGUAGGCGGUGUGUCGCGUCGGCCGUGAAAACCUGCAGCUUAACUGUGGGCUUGCGGUCGAUACGGGCAUCACUGGAGUUCGGCAGGGGAGACUGGAAUUCCUGGUGUAGCGGUGAAAUGCGCAGAUAUCAGGAGGAACACCGGUGGCGAAGGCGGGUCUCUGGGCCGAUACUGACGCUGAGGAGCGAAAGCAUGGGGGAGCGAACAGG
Molecule: ribosomal RNA, 255 nt
Filed under: uncultured bacterium
Lineage: Bacteria
Description: partial 16S ribosomal RNA
Rfam family: Bacterial small subunit ribosomal RNA
Source: RNAcentral